CGUAUUUUCAGUAUGUGGUUUAUUAAAUUUUCAACCAUUUACACACCAUAUAAAAUGUAUGUUGACUUAAAGUUUGAUCGGUUACAUUCACUUGUUUUCAAUAAAACAAAUAACGCAUUAUUUUGUUCUCACUAUAUUUAAUUACUACUCUUUUUUUAUUUCUACAAACGGCAUAAAGAACAACAAAAAACAGAGCAGAAAACACUAAAAAAAGUUUCCAGUUUUCAAUUUCUUAUGUAGAUUAAAAUAAACAUUUAAAGCAAAAAAGUAUAGACAAGUAUUGGUUUUUUUUUUUACACUUUACAGUUACAAUCUAGAGUACCCCUGUAUGUUUAUAUAACUGCUUUAUUCAUCAAAAAAAUUUGACCAGAGGAAAGCAAGGUCAGUGAGGUCAUGAAAGAUUAAAGCUCUUUGGGUUUAAUGGGUGGGUGCAUGUAUCUUUUAUUUUAUUUUAUUUUUUUAGACUAAUAGAAGGAAUUUGCAGUGGGGAGACAUUUAGGGGAUGAAGCUGAUGUUUGUGAAAUCCUGAUUUGGCAGUUUCCUCAGUCUUAUUCAUUAUUUCUGAUUCUCACAACGCCGUCACGUCACCUUUACCCUCACCACCUUCUUCAGACCAGAUCGCACUUCCAGAGAACUGCUUUAGAUCUAUCAGCAAUCCCGGCCCUCCACUUGCCUCAGCUUUACUCUGCUCUUCUCCCACUUUCUCCUCCUUUUCUUCACUUUUAUCUUCCGUCUCUCCCUCUGGCUCAGACUCAUCGUUAAGUUUGGUUUGCUCUCCUGCCUCUGAACUCCCAAUACUUGAGUCAUCAUUUGAAGUAUUACUUUCUUUCUCCUUAGCAUUACCAGUGUCGUUGUCCUCCUCCUCUUCAUCUCCCUCUGUGUCACUCUCCUGACUACCACCACUAUCCACCUGUUCUUCUUCAUCUUGGACUUCCUGCAUUUCCUCCCCUUCCUCUUCUUCAUCACUUCCAGGCCACAGCUGGACCCCAAGACGUGCCCCCACAGCUAACGCUGCACUUCUCGCCUGGUCCCUGAGACCUCCUUCCUUGUAGACGAUGCGUCGGACUGUAUAUUCCCCUUCAGCCUCCCUGUUCAGCUUCUUGUACAGUACAAAGAGCACAACAAGGAGGAAUAAUAGGAUGAACAAAAGGCCCAGCACCAAUGGAGUGCUGUUUUGUUCAGAAUCCCCCAUCCCUGAAGGAAGGACAGAGAAGAGGUUCAGAAUUAGUAUGAACACACAUGGGGAAUCAGUUCAUUUUCAUAAAUGUUUUGGUGAUGUAGGAUUUAAGAAAACACAUGUUUACAUUCUUGCCGAGUUAGAUUAGAAAAAUGACAUUUUACAUUAUUCUCGUUU
Molecule: long non-coding RNA, 1354 nt
Organism: Astatotilapia calliptera (eastern happy)
Lineage: Eukaryota; Metazoa; Chordata; Actinopteri; Cichliformes; Cichlidae
Source: Ensembl